GCAGACGUAGCUCAGUGGGAGAGCGCUAAGGCCCUCGGGCACUCACUUGCCCGUCAUCGGGCCGACGCGUGAGGGUUAUCGAAUUGGAUCGAGAGGUCGUCGGUUCGAAUCCGACCGUCUGCA
Molecule: transfer RNA, 123 nt
Filed under: Kofleriaceae bacterium
Lineage: Bacteria; Pseudomonadati; Myxococcota; Haliangiales; Kofleriaceae
Rfam family: tRNA
About the family: Transfer RNA (tRNA) molecules are approximately 80 nucleotides in length. Their secondary structure includes four short double-helical elements and three loops (D, anti-codon, and T loops).
Source: Rfam by way of RNAcentral